Molecule: ribosomal RNA, 165 nt
Filed under: Triticum aestivum (bread wheat)
Lineage: Eukaryota; Viridiplantae; Streptophyta; Magnoliopsida; Poales; Poaceae
Description: partial small subunit ribosomal RNA
Source: RNAcentral
UUGAUUGCAGCUAGGGAACGAUUGAUCCAACCCCUCUUGGCUUGCUCGCAUUCGGCUGGGUCCCAGUUUUGGAAAUCUGUCCAGACCAUCAAGGAUGAGAUUAGGCUGGGUUUGCGGUUCUCGGUUGGUAAUGGGUCUGGGACCCAGUUUUGGUUGGACCCCUAG